AACCUUUAGAGAUAGAGUGGUGCCCUUCGGGGAACUUGAAAACAGGUGCUGCACGGCUGUCGUCAGCUCGUGUCGUGAGAUGUUGGGUUAAGUCCCGCAACGAGCGCAACCCUCGUCCUUAGUUGCCAGCAGUUCGGCUGGGCACUCUAAGGAGACUGCCUUCGUAAGGAGGAGGAAGGUGAGGACGACGUCAAGUCAUCAUGGCCCUUACGGCCAGGGCUACACACGUGCUACAAUGGGGCGUACAGAGAGUUGCGAUACCGCGAGGUGGAGCUAAUCUCUUAAAGCGUCUCUCAGUUCGGAUUGUUCUCUGCAACUCGAGAGCAUGAAGCUGGAAUCACUAGUAAUCGUAGAUCAGCAAUGCUACGGUGAAUACGUUCCCGGGCCUUGUACACACCG
Molecule: ribosomal RNA, 399 nt
Filed under: uncultured Sulfurimonas sp.
Lineage: Bacteria; Pseudomonadati; Campylobacterota; Epsilonproteobacteria; Campylobacterales; Sulfurimonadaceae
Description: bacterial SSU rRNA
Rfam family: Bacterial small subunit ribosomal RNA
Source: RNAcentral